UUGCUUUUCGUUUUUGGUUUGGGGUUUCUGUGAUAGCCCCAGCGAAGCGGGUGUCCGGGGCAGCAGCCGGGGCAGCAGGUGGGGCGGGCCCGGCAGGAGGUGCUGCCUGGGGAGGCCGAGCAGAGGAGCGCCCCGAGGGCAGAGGGAGGCGAAGGGGGGCACUAGAGGUAGGUGAUAACCCGGCAGCCUGCUCAGAACGUGGCGAGGAAUAAAGGCAAGAAAAGCAAGCCAGCAACCGAUGUAGGAAGCUUUAACACAAAGAUAGCUGCUCUCCUCAAACCUGAUAGGUCAGCAUGGGCAGAAGAGGUGAGAGGGCUUAUUGUAGAACUUAAAUGUCCAAGAAGGCAAGCAAAUUUAGACCGAUAAUUUUAAUGUGAGAGAAACAUUCAGAGAAAUCUAUGAUCCUUCUACUGAGCGGCUGUGCAGAUGCUACACUGGGUUUUGAGUUCUCAGAACAGAAUUUCCCUGGGGUUUUCUACAGAGUAAUCAGAUUUAGAAGUAACUGUUCAAAUCCCCAGUGCUAUUUGUAACCUUCCCAGCAGCCAGCGCAGUAGGCUUGGGAUGCUCUUCUGCUCACCUGAAGGGAGAUAGGAAACCACAGGUUCCAAACUAGUGUCUUAUGGGGUCCCUCAGGCAGCUCCAGAAAAGUCUGCUUUCUUCCAAAGAGGAUCUUUCUUAAAGUAGUAACCAACACCUGCUUCAUGGGCCAAGAAGUCUUUCUUCUGAUUAUUCCUUGUCUUUUUAGAAGCAUAAUACAUACCUUGUGCAGUAAUUCAUUGGUGUAGGCAUGUGCAAAAAUACAGAAACUUUGUGAAGAGUUCCACUGACUCUUGAAUCUGAAAUCAAUACUUGAAUGUAUUGCUUCCAUGCAGUGCGACAUGCAGGCUUGGCAGCCAGAAUGCUUCUUUAUGUUAGGAGCAGGCAGAGGAUGUUUUUGCCCUUGUAGUCAACACAAUGUUUUGUGACAAUGAAAAGGAAAUGCUUCUGUCAAAAGAUUAAGGGGACAAGGGCUGGCAAGGAUUUGUGAGUUGUCCUUUGGGAUGAAGUUGAGAGAAUGUAUUUUCUGCUUUGAGACGGAAUAUUCUUUUCAAACUCCAGUGUGGUCACAGACUGAAUUAACCUGGUGGCAGUACAGCACCUUACAGUGACGUGCAGCCCAUGAACCUGGAAAUUUCUGAUGAUACUUUAGCCACCAAAAUUUACUACUUAUGUUCUGUCAUGUUGUUGUACAUGUACAGUUGUAAUAAAUUUGGAGAAACAGAACUCGAUCUUAAUUUUGAAGCCUGGCAUAGAGAUGCGCUUUGCGCUCAGAAUCCUCUUUCAAACAAGUUUUGAGCAACCAAGCUUAAGCUAAGGUUUGGCAUAAGCAGCUGGGGGAGGGAAGCUCAGCUGCUUUUCUGUGUAAAACGAAAGCAUGAAGGAAUGGUGGAACUGAAACUUACUGUAGAAUUUGAACAUGCAGUAGUGAGAAAUGUUUUGUCACUGUUUGCUUUGAUGUAGUCUGCUCCAUGCAGCAAGCAGAGUCAGCGGCUGUUUUGUAUAAGGCACUGUUCGUGUUCAGACAGGCAGCGCAACCAGGCCUUGCCCUUAACAACUUAAAGCCUACUUAGGCAAAACAGAGUCCCCUUCCUCCCUGCCACCGCUCCAAAGAAAAGAUAUUUGAAGUGCUUAACUGCGUCACAGAGGUAAAUCAGAGCCAAAAGCACAGCGCAGACCCUCUAACUCCUCACCUAGACCCCGAGGCGCCCAGCCCAGCUACCUCCCUGCUACAGCACCCUUGGCUCCUGCCAUCACUGUGCCUUUAAGGAGUGGAGCACGGCAUGGCUGUAAUGCGGCGCAGUGUUUUGAGUGUUUCCUGAUGAGAUGGAGGUUGGCUGCAGGUUGUUGCAGGCAUGCCAGGAAAGCUCCACUCCCAUGUAAUUUUUCAUUUUGUAAGAUCACAAGGGAAAGAAAGAUCCUCCAGGUGCACGUGCGGUCUGUCUGCCAUGUACUGAGUAGCGCAGCUGACAAACUGUCUGUCCAAAAAAUCUUCUUCAUUGAGCAGGAAUGUGGUAAUAAUACUUAGCUGCAGAGCUUCAGAGCUUGGCAGGGCUCGAAUGGGUAGGUGAGCUCACAGUCGCUGAGGAGAGCGAUGGAGCAUGCCUGCCAGCUCGGACACCAAAAGCCAAGUGUGUCAGACUGCUGCUUAUGGAGUUUGAUACCAUCUCUACGUGAAUCAUAACGAGAGUGGUCUGAGAUGCUCCAUAAGGUGUCUCUAAAACGGCUUUCCCAGGAGAAGUGGGGAUCAAUCACAACGUGUCAAGGAGACUUGUACGGCAAGUGAAGAUUUUUUGAUAGGAAGAGCUGGGGUUUUAGACUUGCGGGUCCUACAAGCUGAGCUUUCUUGGGAUAGAUUCAGUUUUACACACCCGUGUUUCCUUUUGCAACCCCCACAUCCCCAUCCUUCUGUUCCCUUUCUUACCUCCUCUCCCUCUACUUAAAAUCCCCAUAAUCUGGGCCUUGGAAAGAGCUCCACGCCAGCAGGGCUGGGUAAAGCGAGGUUCCUGCACCCGGCAGAGGGCAGCGCACAAAUCCGAGGCCGGUGCAGAGCUGCUAGGCAGAGCCCACACAGGGAGGAGGUCUCCGGAAAGCUCUGCUGCCACUUCAGGUGGUUCUGAUCUGCGCUGUCACUCAGCUUAACAGGCACUUACUGCAACGUGAAUUAGAUUUAGAGUCUGUUUGACACAGAGUGGCUGCUGAGGUCCUGCCUUCUGAGAAGAGCUCACCGGAAUGACCGGGGAGGCCGGUGAGUGGGCAGAGCCCAGGCUGCUGCAGGGGCUGCACCCACCAGCAUCACUGCGGGGGGACUGCUGCUGCACACAUCCUCACAGCGGCGAGGGAAAGUGUUGCACCCUUCUUGGUCAUGAAACUGAAUACCAUGAGGUACUCGUGGAUCACUUGUCAGUGGCGGUUGUUCAAGACUUGGAAUGCCAGCAAUGGAAUUCUGACCUUCAUUCCAGCAAAUCUGUACCUGACCCUGCAUAUUUGGGCUUAGGGGCAAGAGUUGGGUCUUAAUUAGAGAUUUUCAAUAGUGUUUAAUAUAAGGCGCUGUACAGACUACAAACUAGAACCUGUGAUUAAAAGCACUUAAAUCAAGAGGUGGGGGCAGUUUGUGACACUUUAAUUUUAAAAUGUGACAUUUCUUUAUGAGUUGUAGAGUUCUUUGUAAGCUGAACUGACGAGAUGUCUCCCCGGUUGCCUCAUGCAAUCUUGUGUCUUGAUUUUUUAAUCAAUUAAAGAAGCCUAAGAAUGUGAAAACAUAAUUAAGCAAUUAUACAUUGAAUGUCCUGAUUUAGGAAGAAUUCUGUGAUUGUACUUAUCAUUUUAGAUCUUCUCUUAGACCUAUUAAGAGAUAAAUAGGCCUUGUAUAGCCCAUACAGUAAUGUGACUUUCAUCCAAAAUUAACGCUGUUGUACAUGGCAACAUUCAUUCAUCCAUGCUAGUAGGUGGGGGAGCAAGCUGCUCCUUGUAGGUGGUGUGGCAAUACAUGCGUUUUAAGUCCAGGCUUGUGACUACUUCCAUUUUUGAACCUUGCUUUACAAAAUGCACCCCAUAAUGUCGGUAAUUGAUAAAUCAAGCUUUUUUAGUCCAUCUAAGUACAUAAAAACAGAAAAGUGCUAUCUAUUAUUGAGCGGCUUUAAACAAGUUUCACUGCUGUUGAUUUCCUCUUUAUAUUAUUUUUGCUUUUUCAGUCGUUCAGCAGUUCUGAAUUCAUGCUUUGCUUCCCUGGUGCAGAGAAGCACAAGGCCACCUGUUCCUUCAACUAUGAUUUUAGCUUUUGCUUUCUGAAGUACCAGUACCACUCAGCACUUAGCAGCAUUCUUCCAAUUUAAGGCCAUUUCUGCUCUUCAUCCCAGUAUUGCAGCCAGCACCAGGUGAGUCAGGAGACCAGUUGCUCACAAGCAGUUUCCAAAGAGGUUGUCAGUGCUACUAGUGCCCAGUGCAGGAUCCCUUUCAUCUAGCGUCCCCAGGCAGUCACAUGGGCAAAGCUUUAGUCACAGCUUCAUGGAAAAUAAAUGCAGCCAUUUUCCAUGGAGAUUCGCUGAUCUCAAGAGCAAUAUUUGUUUAGUUAUGGACAGUCACCACAUCUGUGCCUUAGGUGAUAUUCGGCUAAAGGAUAUGGAACAGUGAGAAGUAUUCACUUUUCACACAGGUUUUUAGUCACUAAGAAACAGCCGACUGGUCUGCGUGGCUGUGUGACCUGCAGCUGCCACCAAACCUGCUAUCAAGUGUCUGUCGAAGACUCCACAAAAUACUCCCUCUCACAGCAACAGAAAUGCGGGCUUCCUCCUCUCUGGCUCCCUGGGAGCUCCUGGAGGCUCGCCUCAAACCUGCCUCUUCAAGUAGCUUGAUGUUAAUUUUAAACUUCCAAAAGUUUUUUCCUGAAUGAAUGUAGGUAUGUGCCAAGUGUGAGAUCGGUAUAAAAUUCCUGAGUCAUUAUAUUCAAACUCUGGGUCCUUUUUAUCCAGUUCUAAUGUUUUAUUAAUUUCAAAUUACCUUGAUUGUUGGUGGUAUAGCUGUAAUGUUUUUGGUUUAAACAAGAUAAGGCUUGUAGGGAGAGAUGAGCUCUUUGAUUAGACCUGAGAAAGAUCUUGCUUGCUGGAAAAUUUGAAAAUUAGUAAAAGCCUCUCUCUGCUAAGCAGCAGAAAUUUAUUUCAUGAAUCUUUGAACAGGCCUUGAGUGGUGCAGGACCCUGCCAAUGUAUGCUCUGGAAUGGCUGUAACUUCUCAGCCUUACUGACCUCUAUGUAUAUCUCUAAUAAUUGACAUCUCAGAUUUUUGAGUUUUCAAAAAUAACGUGCCACACUUCUUGUUACUUUUCGUUAGGAAAAUUAUUCUGCUUUCACUCCAUUGGAUGAACUGGAUGCUGACAAUGCUAAUCAGAGUUUAUUUAUGCAAAGCCAGCGACUGUCAAGGGAGCACACUACGGUCUGUAUUCCCCUACACCGGUUACAGGGGCUCCCCAGUCCUGUUAAGCUUCUCCUAAACAUCCAGUUCUUUUAUGUAGUGAAAUGAAGUCAGAAGGGCUGAAUGACUGAGUCUCCUAGCUACAGGCUUAACUUCAGACAGGACAAAGAUCUAACACUUUGGAUGCCAUUCAUAUUAAAAAGAGUUGGGGUUUUUUCUCGGUUCAGGAGUUUGAAUAAGCUCAUCUGGAAGCCAGCUUUAGAGACUGUUUCCAGCACAGCAAGCACUACUGGUAAAGUAAAGACUAUGAUUAAUUCCUUUAUUUUUUCCACUUUCAUCAUGUCAUAGUCCUAUUCCAUAGAAUGCUGAUUUCUUUCAGUUACAUAUAUAUAGCGUAUUUAUAGCACAGACAGAAAUAAACAGGUGACACUCACUUCUGCAGAAUGGGACUGGAGCUCUCUAAGCAUUUCCUCUUAAGUAUUCUUUGUAAAUGAAAUGAGUCAGCUAAGCUGGAGGGCAUCACACUGUUUUCUCAGCCUGUAAACUACCAUCAGUAGGGAUGUGUGGUGAGUGACUGGAACUGGUUAAGUUUGCGGGAUGGUGCCAGCAAUGGAAUAAUUUCUCAUGUUAAGGCUGGCUGUAUGAGCUAAGGCUUCCACCCUCUCUGAGGAGAUGCCUGAGCCAGAUGCUGGUUUUCCUCUGCCACACACUGCGUGCAGUUGGCAGCUGCUGGCAGCUGCAGGAAGACUCUUGCCAUAAUCCUCUUAUUGAUUCCACUAAGCAAACGCUAACACACCAUGUAUAGCAUCUGUAUUAGGUUCUCAAGGAAAAAAAAAAAAAAAAAAAGAGCAUGAGCGGGUGCCUUGCCAACGCUUGACUUGAUAGCAUUUGCCACAAAAGUUAGUUUGUCUUAAGAGUGACUCCCAUACAGUUUUGGCAGGACAACACUACGGGAGAGGCCAGGCUUUUCUUCUUGUUGUUAGCUGUGUUAUGAUGUUUGUCACUUACAUUAACCUGCCUUGUCCAAGUCACUUCUAAAAGGUCACUUAUUGAGAGCUACCUGCUGACUAAAGCUUUGACAGGUUGCUUCUAGAGUUUUCCUGUUUCAGCAGAUGACUUGCCUGGCUCCAGGUCUUUUGAAAUCGCUGGUCAAACAUAAUUUAGCAUCCAUAUGCCAGACUGGUAAGUCCCAAAGCAUAAAUUACAAGCAGCUGAAGUUCAGGUUAGGGAUGCAAAUAUGACUGACUUCUGACCCAUUAAUUCCAACCCACUGACCCAUUAAUUUCAAAUCAUUAAUUAUAUUCAGUGAUGGUGAAAAGCCUAAAAAAAAAAUCCCUGAAGGAUGAGGAUGGUUUUCCAGACUCCAUCCAGCAUGACAGCAUGUCCAAAUUGCAUCUUUUAUAUGGUACAAAACAAACACCAGGAAACAAUUGAAUUUUAUAUUCUUGUGAUUGUUUCAUAUAGUUCUGUGUGUGCAGUAUGAGAAAACAAGCAUAAAUUAGGGUCGACCUCUUAAAGGUGAAACUUGGUAGUUCUUGUCUGUGUUAAAAGCUGUCCUUCAGUGGUGUUUCAUAUCAAUACCAGGAAGAGGAAGAGUUUGUCUCAGAUCCUUCUUCUCAUUUACGGAGUAAUGCAUUUUUACAAAGCCUUGUUUUCUUAUCUUGAUUCUGUCAUGCUACCUUCUGUAUGCUCCUUCCUUUUACUGAAGGAGGAUAUGAGAGACACGAUCCUAUCACCUUGCAGUUUACUCUGUGAUUGUGGGCAGACAGUGUUUGCAAGAGACGCUAACACAGAGCAACACCCGCCAGCACGUUGCAGAACAGAGCGGGUGGGGAGCUGCUGUUGUCCUGUCUGCAUCACACUUGAAUCCCCUGAGCUGCUGGGCUGUCGCGAACAAGUUUUUCUGUACUAUUUGUUUUAUGGACAGUGGUGGGCCAUUCAGAUGUUACCAUCAGCUCCAUGCUUCAUGACUUUUCUUCCAUUCAUCUGUGGAGCUUCCGGGGGGGGCCUGUUUCCAAAGCAAGUAUUCAGACAAUAGCAAAAAUAAUUAAAAAAAAAUAAUUGUAAUUGCUUGGAUUCCAAAUCUAAAAAAAAGAAUUAAAACUUUUUUUGAAGUGUAGUUAGUGACUUCUCAGUAUGAGGAAAAAGAAACUGAGAAAUAAAAUUGAAGAACCUUUUCUGUACACAUUAACCAAUGGACUGGGACAGAGAUCUUUUUUUAAAACGCUUUUAAGUAGGAUGAAAGACACUAAAAUAUCAGAAUUUCUGGCCAAGGGACAGACUUUAUGCAGUGAGGAUAUAUCAAGCUGUAGCCCUAUAUAUAGUACUAAAUUUGCCUUUACACAAUCCUGCUUUAUUUACCCCUUAGUACAAAACCCUUUUUUCCCCACUUUAUUUUACGAAGCCGCCUCUGGCUUCAUAGAUUUUCUGAUUGUGCAAUAUCAUCCUUUUACCAAAAUUAGAGAGGGGAGCACAGAACUGCUUCCAUUUUAAGGAGUGCUGUCGCUGAGAGUGUGAAAAGGUCUGAGCUGGGCAGAAAAUUUCAAGUUGCUGCUUCUUUGGAAAUCUCUUUUCAGGGAAAUCUAGGGUCAAAUUCUUUCCUAAGUUCUCUUGACACCGUACCAACAAAACAAUGCCAGAGUCAUUGCUGGAGACCAGGCUCCUGCUGUGCUCCCAGCUAUCUUAUCUGCCAGCAGUCUGGCCUUUUUUUUACCCGUACUGUGCCAGCACGAGGAAUAAUGUCCUUGAAGACUGCUGUGAAGAAAGGUGCACGUUGUAGUAGCAGGCAGAAGAUUGAUCCCUUCUUUUUAAUCUCUUUUUAAAUUUAAAAAAAAAAAACAAAACCUCUGUCCCAACCAGCAUGCUCUCAGAAAAUGUGUUGAAAUUUAAUCCAGUGUAAUUUACAGCCUGUCAGCCAUCAAUUCAUUGCCUUUCCCAACUGUGUGCUGAACUUCCUCUGUUACCCUUAAAUCAGGGGAUGAUCAGUGUGGGAUCAGCUCCAGAAAACAGUCUGUGGAGGCCCCAAGACAUUUUUCCUGCAGCUGCAGAACAUGUCUCCAUGUUGAGCUGAGCCAGUUCUUUGAUAAGACCAUUGCAGAUAAUUUAGUAUAAGUUUGCACUUUACUGAAAGAUAAGGAUUUUCUGGUUUAGGAAAACAAAUCCAUUUCUCAAUGCAGAUUGCCAGUGCUUCUGCCCUUCUUAUAACACAGUUUCUUCACGGAAAAUCUUUUAAAAGGGGCCUUUUAGUUUCUCCUGGAAAUUACACUCUUGUAGGGGUCUUGCCUUCUUCUGUAGAUUUAAUGGCUUAAUAAGCAUUAGACCCUCCUAUUAUACAGUAACAAAUAGGAAUACAAUACUUUUAUCAAUAUUUGGCACAAAUGAUUUUUUUAUGUGAAACUAAAUAUUGAUGCUGUCAAGUGACUGCAGCUUAGGGGCAUAAAUUACAGAUAUUCUUCUCCUGUGAGCCUCGCUCAAAUUUUGCUUUCAUAUACAGUAACUAUCUAAUGUCUUUCUAUUCCUGUAAGCCAUAUGAUUUGAUUGCCAGAUUACAUGAUUCUGUACUGUGCUUAGUGUUUUUAUUGUUAUUACCAAUAUUAUAUUUUAUUCUUACUGUAAAUGGUAACAAAAAGGUAACUGCUUCCUUACACUAUAAAAGGAAUAAAGUCCCAUUUGCAGAAUGUCUCUCAACAGAAAAUACCUCUGGAAAAAAGAUAUACUGAAUAAAUAAUUCAUAACAUGAUGGGUGAGUAGAAAAAAAGGUCUUUUGAUGUAUUCUGCUACUCAAAACAAAACUGGAUUUUUUAAAGUAACUGACUAUUUUAAUGGAGAACAAAAUCUGCUUUAAAGAAGAGUGAUGACAGGGGAGUCAGUCCUACGUGCGUUUUUACCCAUUUUGCACUUCUGUAGGUAAUAAAAUUUGUGAAACUGAGGAAUCCAUCCCCUUGCUUUUCCCGAUUAUUUUCUUUUUCUUUGUUCCAUCCUCCUGUUUUUCCAUUAUCUUAUUUCUUGGCUUAUUUCCUGAAUGAAAUGUCAACUCAGCCACCCAAAGAAAACCAUAACAUUUCAAGGAUUUCUGAUUGCAGCAAAGUGAAUUAGCUAGUCUGUAACAUAAACAGAGAGCAAAUAAAUUCUUAAAGGCCUUGGAGUUAAAGUCUCCCAGCUUAAAGCUGCUUAUGCUUUCAGUGCAUUAUGCUCCAGAUUUCCAUGUAAGUAUAUAUUAAAAAAGAAAAAAAGAUAUCCUGAAGGCAUCCCUGAGAAAAUCGGCAUGUGCAUUUUCAUUUCUUCCCAUGAAACUGGAGGAUCUUCGUCAACUAAACAGUAAACAUUAAGGGAUCAGUUAUUGGUAAAGGAGUCAAUCCUGAACAGAAUUCAGGUGAAAUGAGAACCAGCUGGUCUAGAACUCCGGCGGGGCUCUUGAUUGCCACCGGUGGGAGAGGGGGCGCCGGCCCCAGCCGGCCGCUGACCUGCGGGGUCGCUUUCCACCGAGUCCGGCGCUGCAGCCCGGGAGGCGCUGAGGCGGGCGCUCGCCGGGG
Long non-coding RNA from Falco peregrinus (peregrine falcon), 9478 nucleotides. RefSeq lists it as uncharacterized. The transcript is spliced from 4 exons. Lineage: Eukaryota; Metazoa; Chordata; Aves; Falconiformes; Falconidae. The record is from RefSeq and is a predicted model, not a curated record.